GAUGAACGCUGGCGGCGUGCCUAAUACAUGCCAGUCGAGCGAACAGACGAGGAGCUUGCUCCUCUGACGUUAGCGGCGGACGGGUGAGUAACACGUGGAUAACCUACCUAUAAGACUGGGAUAACUUCGGGAAACCGGAGCUAAUACCGGAUAAUAUAUUGAACCGCAUGGUUCAAUAGUGAAAGACGGUUUUGCUGUCACUUAUAGAUGGAUCCGCGCCGCAUUAGCUAGUUGGUAAGGUAACGGCUUACCAAGGCAACGAUGCGUAGCCGACCUGAGAGGUUGAUGGGCAACACUGAAACUGAAAACGGGCCAAGACCCCUAGGGGAGGCAGCAGUAGGAAACUUCCGGAAAGGGCGAAAGCUUGACGGAGCAACGCCGCGUGAGUGAUGAAGGUCUUCGGAUCGUAAAACUCUGUUAUUAGGGAAGAACAAAUGUGUAAGUAACUAUGCACGUCUUGACGGUACCUAAUCAGAAAGCCACGGCUAACUACGUG
This 496-nucleotide ribosomal RNA is filed under the name uncultured bacterium. Its description in RNAcentral is "partial 16S ribosomal RNA". It matches the Rfam family "Bacterial small subunit ribosomal RNA", at positions 28 to 507 of the family's 1533-position model. The record is from RNAcentral.